RNAcentral lists this non-coding RNA (31 nucleotides) under Mus musculus (house mouse). The record is from RNAcentral. Lineage: Eukaryota; Metazoa; Chordata; Mammalia; Rodentia; Muridae.
UACUCCAGUUCCGAGGCCUGGAGCGUGCCAU